Molecule: long non-coding RNA, 464 nt
Filed under: Setaria viridis
Lineage: Eukaryota; Viridiplantae; Streptophyta; Magnoliopsida; Poales; Poaceae
Description: long non-coding RNA (SVIR_LNC005558)
Source: RNAcentral
AGUGGGUUUGAUGAAGAGGUUAAAAGGUGUAUCGGGGGAGGAGAUGACAAGACCAGUCAACAUCAGGACAUCGGCCAAAGUGGGGGUCUUGGGCCUGUUGCCGAAGAGGAAUGCAUUGAGGGCGCCAGACCAAAAGUAAGAUGCCGCAAUGACCAAAGAAUCAUUCCUCUCCAUUUGAGACAGAGACAAGUUUAUGCAGUGGCCGAUUUUUAUUUCGUCCUAGAGAACUCUCUUGGAGUUUGACAUCCUCAGGAACCAUUCUCUCCAACCUGAGGUUUCAUUCGGCCAUAACCUAAAUGUACCUGACCAAUUGUUUAGAUCCAUGGUCGAUUGCUUGAAGGGAAUUCUAUGAGUCACCAAAUUAAUUAACUCGGUUGGAUCUGGAUUUCCCAUGGGGCCAAAACCAAUAAGACCAGGCGCGUCAGAUAUAGGGAUGGUGAUUCUUUGCCUAAGCUCCUGAGAAG